AUUGAACGCUGGCGGCAGGCCUAACACAUGCAAGUCGAACGGUAACAGGAAGCAGCUUGCUGCUUCGCUGACGAGUGGCGGACGGGUGAGUAAUGUCUGGGAAACUGCCUGAUGGAGGGGGAUAACUACUGGAAACGGUAGCUAAUACCGCAUAACGUCGCAAGACCAAAGAGGGGGACCUUCGGGCCUCUUGCCAUCGGAUGUGCCCAGAUGGGAUUAGCUAGUAGGUGGGGUAACGGCUCACCUAGGCGACGAUCCCUAGCUGGUCUGAGAGGAUGACCAACCACACUGGAACUGAGACACGGUCCAGACUCCUACGGGAGGCAGCAGUGGGGAAUAUUGCAUAAUGGGCGCAAGCCUGAUGCAGCCAUGCCGCGUGUAUGAAGAAGGCCUUCGGGUUGUAAAGUACUUUCAGCGGGGAGGAAGGGAGUAAAGUUAAUACCUUUGCUCAUUGACGUUACCCGCAGAAGAAGCACCGGCUAACUCCGUGCCAGCCGCCGCAGUAA
Molecule: ribosomal RNA, 506 nt
Filed under: uncultured bacterium
Lineage: Bacteria
Description: partial 16S ribosomal RNA
Rfam family: Bacterial small subunit ribosomal RNA
Source: RNAcentral